RNAcentral lists this ribosomal RNA (490 nucleotides) under uncultured bacterium. RNAcentral describes it as "partial 16S ribosomal RNA". It matches the Rfam family "Bacterial small subunit ribosomal RNA", at positions 30 to 507 of the family's 1533-position model. The record is from RNAcentral.
AUUGAACGCUGGCGGCAGGCUUAACACAUGCAAGUCGAGCGGUAGCACAGGGGAGCUUGCUCCCUGGGUGACGAGCGGCGGACGGGUGAGUAAUGUCUGGGAAACUGCCUGAUGGAGGGGGAUAACUACUGGAAACGGUAGCUAAUACCGCAUAACGUCGCAAGACCAAAGAGGGGGACCUUCGGGCCUCUUGCCAUCAGAUGUGCCCAGAUGGGAUUAGCUAGUAGGUGGGGUAAUGGCUCACCUAGGCGACGAUCCCUAGCUGGUCUGAGAGGAUGACCAGCCAAACUGGAACUGAGACACGGUCCAGACUCCUACGGGAGGCAGCAGUGGGGAAUAUUGCACAAUGGGCGCAAGCCUGAUGCAGCCAUGCCGCGUGUGUGAAGAAGGCCUUCGGGUUGUAAAGCACUUUCAGCGAGGAGGAAGGUGGUGAGCUUAAUACGUUCAUCAAUUGACGUUACUCGCAGAAGAAGCACCGGCUAACUCCGUG